GUCCACGGCCACGCCGCCCUGAACAAGCCCAAUCCCGUCUGAUCUCGGAAGCUAAGCAGGGUCGGACCUGGUUAGUACCUGGAUGGGAGACCACCUAGGAAGACCAGGUGCUGUAGGCA
RNAcentral lists this ribosomal RNA (119 nucleotides) under Pteropus alecto (black flying fox). The record is from RNAcentral. Lineage: Eukaryota; Metazoa; Chordata; Mammalia; Chiroptera; Pteropodidae.